RNAcentral lists this ribosomal RNA (215 nucleotides) under Corallococcus sp. AB049A. Its description in RNAcentral is "partial 16S ribosomal RNA". It matches the Rfam family "Bacterial small subunit ribosomal RNA", at positions 1313 to 1533 of the family's 1533-position model. The record is from RNAcentral. Lineage: Bacteria; Pseudomonadati; Myxococcota; Myxococcia; Myxococcales; Myxococcaceae.
CGACUCCAUGAAGGCGGAAUCGCUAGUAAUCGCAGAUCAGCACGCUGCGGUGAAUACGUUCCCGGGCCUUGUACACACCGCCCGUCACACCAUGGGAGUCGAUUGCUCCAGAAGUCAUCUCACCAAGAGAUGCCCAAGGAGUGCUCGGUAACUGGGGUGAAGUCGUAACAAGGUAGCCGUAGGGGAACCUGCGGCUGGAUCACCUCCUUUCUAAG